UGUAAGCGUAUACCAAAGUUGUUGCAGUUAAAACGCUCGUAGUCGGAAUUUGGCAGUUCCGGAUGUGUGCACGUCGUGUGCGCACUUCGCGGGGAUUGCUUUUGUGGUCUUGCGUAGGAUGAGGCACUUUUAUUAGUGAACGUCCUCACGCAACCACUUUUUACUGUGAGAAAAUCAGAGUGCUCAAAGCAGGCAUUUGCCGUGAAUGUAUUAGCAUGGAAUCAUAGAAUAGGACUUGGUUCUAUUUUGUUGGUUUGUUGGGACUGAGUAAUGAUUAAGAGGGACAGUUGGGGGCAUUUGUAUUUCGGUGCUAGAGGUGAAAUUCUUAGAUUACCGAAAGACAAACUGCUGCGAAAGCGUCUGCCAAGGAUGUUUUCAUUGA
This 382-nucleotide ribosomal RNA is filed under the name uncultured eukaryote. RNAcentral describes it as "partial 18S ribosomal RNA". It matches the Rfam family "Eukaryotic small subunit ribosomal RNA", at positions 592 to 976 of the family's 1831-position model. The record is from RNAcentral.